Molecule: RNA transcript, 1363 nt
Organism: Drosophila kikkawai
Lineage: Eukaryota; Metazoa; Arthropoda; Insecta; Diptera; Drosophilidae
Gene name: Aldo-keto reductase 1B
Source: RefSeq, a predicted model, not a curated record
AGCUUUAACAAUUCAUAGUGAUUUAAAAUGUAUUUAAAUAAAGUAGGAAUUAUACUAUUAUGAACUCUUUCUGGAAAUAUCAACUAAUACGAAACUCGAUUAAGAAUUAUAGUAAAAUGGAGAGAUUAAUGUGCGAUUGCCCAAGGGAUAUCCCUAAAGUUCCCAAAAUAAAAUUUAAUGAUGGCCAUGAAAUACCUAUAAUUGGCCUUGGAACUUGGAAUAGCCCCAAGGGUCAGGUUACUGAGGCUGUGAAAGUCGCCAUCGAUGCUGGCUACAGGCACAUUGACUGUGCUCAUGUCUACCAGAAUGAAGAUGAGGUUGGAGAGGGUGUUGAGGCCAAGAUCAAGGAGGGCGUGGUCAAGCGCGAGGAUCUCUUCAUCACCAGCAAGGUGUGGAACACAUUCCAUAGCCCCAAUCUGGUCAGGCCCGCUGUGGAGAAAACCCUGAGCGCUCUGAAGCUCAAGUAUCUCGAUCUUUACCUGAUCCACUGGCCCAUGGGCUUCAAGGAAGGUGGCGAGUUGUUCCCCGUCGAUAAGGAUGGCAAGACUGCCUAUUCGGACGUUGAUUAUGUGGACACCUGGAAGGCCAUGGAGAAGCUGGUGGAAGAUGGUCUGGUCAAGUCCAUUGGAGUGUCUAACUUCAACAAGAAUCAGAUUGAGCGCAUUCUGGCUGUGGCCAAGAUCGUGCCAGCCACCAACCAGGUCGAGUGCCAUCCGUAUCUGCCGCAGAAGAAACUGAUGGACUACUGCAGGUCCAAGGGUAUUACGAUCACUGCCUACAGUCCUUUGGGCUCGCCCAACCGCCCCUGGGCCAAGGCUGGUGAUCCGGUCAUCCUGGAGGAACCUAAGAUCAAGGAACUGGCAGCCAAGAAGAACAAGACCCCGGGACAGAUUCUUAUCCGUUACCAAAUCCAGCGCGGCAAUAUUGUGAUUCCCAAGUCUGUGACCAAGGAUCGCAUUGAGUCCAAUUUUGAGGUCUUUGACUUUGUGUUGACACCCGCGGAGGUCGAGAUCAUUGAGAGCUUCGAGUGCAACGGUCGCCUGGUUGCCUUGGUGGACAUUGGUACCCAUAAGCACUAUCCAUUUCACGAAGAGUUUUAAGCCUCAAGAAAUCGAUAUUUGCCAGGCAAAUAAUUUCAAAGAAUUCUUAUAAAUGAGAAAACCCAAGAAAUCCAAAACCAUUGAAAGGCAAACAAUUAUCAGCAAGUGAAGCCGAUCUUUAUAAACAACCACCAGCGUCAUCCCCACCAUCCCUUUGCAAGGGACGAAUACUAAAUGUCAACCCGGUGCACAAUUUUAAUGUAUAAUUUCUUACACAAAUAACCUUAAAUCGUAUGCAUAAAAAAUAAUAUAUAUAAAACUAA